AUGCUCGCAGAUGACUCGUCGCUGGCGCCCUUCGAGAUGACGGUGGGGGCCACGCUCAAGCUGCUCGGCGUCACCGAGGGCACCUACUUCAACUGGAUCCUGCGCGCCAAGAAGGCCGUCGCCGCUUCCUGCAAGGACGACCCAGACGCCGUCGCCCAGGUCCCUCCUCCCAAACUUCUCCUCCACUCCAUGCUGUACUUCAAUCCCUCGACAUUAGUAAAUCUCUAAUUGGAGCCUUUGAAGGAUUUGAAUGGAGCAUAUGUAUGCAUGCUACGGUUCAUCUUAGAAUUGGAGCCUUUGAAGGAUUUGAAUGGAGCAUAUGUAUGCAUGCUAUGGUUCAUCUUAGAACAUUUGUGCGAUGGAGGAAGGAAACGGAAGUGCAAGGAUGUCUCAGAAGGUUGCUCUGAAUCACAUUCUUCGGGGAUGUGGCUCUGGUUGAAGCAGAGUAUAAGAAUUGGGUUGUUGACUGUGACAAGUAUGUCGCCAUUGUUCGCCCUCAAUCACAUUUUCCAGAAGGGCCUUUCCAAGACUGAAUUGGCGAAUGUCGGCAUGCGCAAGCCUCUGUUCUUAGAUGAUGCUUCUAAGAUUUAUAGGAUUCAAGGUCCCCUGACCCUGGUCAAGGACUAUGACAUGGAGUGA
RNAcentral lists this ribosomal RNA (639 nucleotides) under Triticum aestivum (bread wheat). RNAcentral describes it as "partial small subunit ribosomal RNA". The record is from RNAcentral. Lineage: Eukaryota; Viridiplantae; Streptophyta; Magnoliopsida; Poales; Poaceae.